AUUGAACGCUGGCGGCAGGCUUAACACAUGCAAGUCGAGCGGGGUGAUGGUGCUUGCACUAUCACUUAGCGGCGGACGGGUGGGUAAUGCUUAGGAAUCUGCCUAUUAGUGGGGGACAACAUCUCGAAAGGGAUGCUAAUACCGCAUACGUCCUACGGGAGAAAGCAGGAGAUCACUUGUGACCUUGCGCUAAUAGAUGAGCCUAAGUCGGAUUAGCUAGUUGGUGGGGUAAAGGCCUACCAAGGCGACGAUCUGUAGCGGGUCUGAGAGGAUGAUCCGCCACACUGGGACUGAGACACGGCCCAGACUCCUACGGGAGGCAGCAGUGGGGAAUAUUGGACAAUGGGGGGAACCCUGAUCCAGCCAUGCCGCGUGUGUGAAGAAGGCCUUAUGGUUGUAAAGCACUUUAAGCGAGGAGGAGGCUUACCUAGUUAAUACCUGGGAUAAGUGGACGUUACUCGCAGAAUAAGCACCGGCUAACUCUGUGCCAGCAGCCGCCGUAA
This 503-nucleotide ribosomal RNA is filed under the name uncultured bacterium. RNAcentral's name for it is "partial 16S ribosomal RNA". It matches the Rfam family "Bacterial small subunit ribosomal RNA", at positions 30 to 523 of the family's 1533-position model. The record is from RNAcentral.